RNAcentral lists this long non-coding RNA (1154 nucleotides) under Equus caballus (horse). RNAcentral's name for it is "lncRNA (ENSECAG00000051428.1)". Lineage: Eukaryota; Metazoa; Chordata; Mammalia; Perissodactyla; Equidae. The record is from RNAcentral.
UCUCAUGCCCAUAGGUUCAAGGAGGGCGCCUCUGAGGGGUGUGAGAGGGCUCACGCGUGCACACACACAUACACCUCCUUCUUCACUUUUCAGCAAGAGGAGGCUGGAUAUGCUCCACUCCCUCCCCCGCAACCCCUAUCAGGGCUAAUAGAAAGAAGACUGGCAUUAAAAAGAGAGGCUGUGGUCAAAUUCUGAAAAUGGGACAAAACUCCAAAGGGCAUCAAGAUAUGGCAGAUGUAGAUUCUGGAAUCCUUCUUGGAAUUUGCACGUGCUGGAGAGAAAUUUGGCACGAAACAGAAAAUAGUCCACCAUCAACUUCAGGUGAUCGGUGACUAUCACAGUGCUUCACACAUAAUAGGUGCUCAACAAUUCAAUGCUAAAUGUAUCAGUGAACGAACAAGUGACCCAACUGGAUGGAGUAAGGGCAGGAGAAGUGUCAAUGCAUAAACGGGCAAAGUAAGAAUGAAGACGUUUCUCUUCUGAAUCCAGAGUGGCUGUUUUGUACGUGUCUAGACUGUGCGUGCUGAAGAUGUUCCUUUUGGGUUCAGCUGAGUCUGAGAAACAAGAACACUCACACUUUGCAUCUUUCCAAUCCUGGAGAAGUUGCUAUAGAAAACAAUGCUUUGGAAAGAAUUGAAAAGUCCUGCAAUGAGCAGGUGUUUCUUGAGUACCUCCUGUGCGCUCAGCAUCGCUGUAGGGCCCUUGGAUAAGUGUACACUAGAGAAACACACCUAAUCAAUAAAGUAGUUUUGCAGACCAGAAACAAUUAGAAGAAGACACGAUACACUGUGGAGCUGUAAAAGAGCAACGUAGUCUGGCAAAGCCAAGGAAGGCUUCCCAGAGGGGAUGAGACCAGGACCGGGCCUGAAGGAUGGGUUGGAUUUGGAUAAGGAAAGAGAGGCUGUAGAGCAUUUCAGGGAAACCACACACAAAGGCCUGAAGGAGGAGCAGAUUGGAGGUGAUGUGUAGCAUAGUGGUGAUUAUUCAUUCCUGGAGUACCCUCUGUGUGCUCAGCCAUGACACUAAGCAAUGAAAAACAGACAACCUGUCCUCAAGGAGCUCGAGUCUGGGAGGUGGGGAAUGGAAGGACAGAUACUAAAACAAAUACAGGUGAUGUAUGUGUAUUAUUUCACAAGAAUGUAACCCAAAGCAAA